Molecule: ribosomal RNA, 629 nt
Filed under: uncultured Cortinarius
Lineage: Eukaryota; Fungi; Basidiomycota; Agaricomycetes; Agaricales; Cortinariaceae
Description: eukaryotic LSU rRNA
Rfam family: 5.8S ribosomal RNA (bases 250-403)
Source: RNAcentral
AGGAUCAUUAUUGAAAUAAACCUGAUGAGUUGCUGCUGGUUCUCUAGGGAGCAUGUGCACACUUGUCAUCUUUAUAUAUCUCCACCUGUGCACCUUUUGUAGACCUGGAUAUCUCUCUGAGUGCCGAGCACUCAGGUUUGGGGAUUGACUUUAUGUCUCUUCUUACAUUUCUAGGCCUAUGUUUCUUCAUUAUACCCCAAUGUAUGUUAUAGAAUGUAAUUAAAGGGCUUGUGCCCUAUAAAUCUAUACAACUUUCAGCAACGGAUCUCUUGGCUCUCGCAUCGAUGAAGAACGCAGCGAAAUGCGAUAAGUAAUGUGAAUUGCAGAAUUCAGUGAAUCAUCGAAUCUUUGAACGCACCUUGCGCUCCUUGGUAUUCCGAGGAGCAUGCCUGUUUGAGUGUCAUUAAUAUCUCAACCUCUUUAACUUUAUUUGUAAAGUUGUUGGAUGUGGGGGUCUUUUUUUUGCUGGUCUUUUAAAGUUCAGCUCCCCUGAAAUACAUUAGCGGAACAAAUUUGUGGACCGUUCAUUGGUGUGAUAAAUAUCUACGCUAUUGACGUGAAGCAGAGUUCAGCUUCUAACAGUCCAUUGACUUGGACAAAUUUUCAUUAAUGUGACCUCAAAUCAGGUA